RNAcentral lists this ribosomal RNA (345 nucleotides) under Triticum aestivum (bread wheat). RNAcentral describes it as "partial small subunit ribosomal RNA". The record is from RNAcentral. Lineage: Eukaryota; Viridiplantae; Streptophyta; Magnoliopsida; Poales; Poaceae.
AUGCAGCUGCUCCAGCAGAAGUGUGAAGCUCUUGAGCAUCAGCAGAAAGAAAAGGACAACCUAAUAGACUAUUUUAGCAACAGUUGGUGCUAUAGCCUCGGUGGAGAUCACAUGGCAGCAAAGGAACUUUACCGUAUAAUAGAUAGCAACUUCACAGCCGGAUCAAUAUCCAAAGACAAUGAUUGGAAUCAUAUUUUGUCGCAAGUAAGAUAUGUUGCUGAUCAUACAGCCACACAAUCAGAGUAUGAACUCCAACAGACAAACAAGUACUACUGGAGCUUGGAUGAUGAUGUUGAAGGAAUUUCUGCUAUGAACAAUGAAAACAUCCAACCACAACCACUAUGA